UCAAAAAUUAACUUAUGAAGAUAAAAUGACUGAAAAAAAAACUUUUCUUGAUAAUGAAAAUAUUGGUAAAAUGAAUAAAAAUGAUAAUGGUAGUAUGAACAACAACAAUAUAAGGCAAAAUAAAACUUCACUAAAUUUUUAUGUUUAUUGUUUUUAUAUUUUAUCUAAGUUUCCAUAUUCAAAUAUAAAAAUAAUGAAUAUAUUAAAAUCAAAGAUUCUAAAUCAAAUAAAUAAUUUAACUUUAGAAGAAUUGAUAAUGACUUUUUAUAGCGUAGCAGAAUUAGAAUAUGAUGCUUUUUUUUUACAAAAUUAUAUAUAUACAUUAAUUUUUAAGAAGUUACAUCUUUUAAAUUAUAAAAAUACUUAUAUAGUAUUAAAACUAAUUAAAUCUUUAUAUUUAACAAACAAUUUAGAGAUUUUUACGGAUGGAAAUAUUUCAAGUGAAAUGUCCGUUGAAAAAAAAGAUGUAAAAAAUAUAAAAAAUACAAAGAACGACAUAAGCAAUACGAGCAUAAACAGUAGUACUUGUGAGAAGGACAUAAAAACACUUAUGCUACAUUACUUAUCCAAAAUUGUAUUACAUAAUGUACAUAAUUAUACAGCAAUAGAGUUAGUAGAUAUAAUUAGAUAUAUGGGGGCAUUAACUUAUAUAAAUAAAGAACUUUUUAAUUUUGUUUUCAGUUUACCAUUUUUUAAAAAUUUAAAUGAAAAUACAUUAAAUUAUCAUAAAAAAAAUAUAUAUUUUAAUCAUUCUUACUAUGCGUAUACCAAACAUAAUAGUGGUAUUAUUACUCCUGUUGAAAUUGCAUUAUGUAAAUUGUAUCAGGCGUAUCUUUCUUAUUCCAUGUACAGUGAUAUAUAUAUUGAUGGUGUUAAUGAAGCCGACGAUAAUAUUUCCAAUACAACAAAUAUAUUAAAACAAAUUCAAAAUAAUAAUAAUAAUAUAAAAACUUUCAAUUUUAAUCAUAAUAUAUUACAAUUGCUUAAAAAAACAUAUUUAUAUAACAUGAGUUUAUCUACUUAUAACUCUUCAACGUUACAUUAUGAAAUUGCAGAUAUAUUACAAAAAAAAUUUAAUAUACCAUGUCAUGUUGAAUAUAAAACAAAACAUGGAAUGUCAAUAGAUAUAGCCAUAUUAUAUGAGGACAUUAAAAAAAUGAAUAACAAUAUAUCUUAUUUUUCAAAUAUAGCCAUCGAAAUUAAUGGUCCGUUUCAUUAUAAGACUAAAUCGCUGAGUGAAGGAAACCUUCCUUAUCUUAACACCAAAACUGUGUUAAAAAA
This 1281-nucleotide long non-coding RNA is filed under the name Piliocolobus tephrosceles (Ugandan red Colobus). RNAcentral's name for it is "lncRNA (ENSPTEG00000038504.1)". Lineage: Eukaryota; Metazoa; Chordata; Mammalia; Primates; Cercopithecidae. The record is from RNAcentral.